Long non-coding RNA from Phasianus colchicus (ring-necked pheasant), 3089 nucleotides. RefSeq lists it as uncharacterized. The record is from RefSeq and is a predicted model, not a curated record. Lineage: Eukaryota; Metazoa; Chordata; Aves; Galliformes; Phasianidae.
CUGGAGAUCCUUCCUUUGGAGUUUUCUGAUGUUAUAAUAUGCCAUCAACAAGAAACAGAGCCCAUGACACUAAUGUAAAUGAGUGAAGGAAGAGAUUGGAAGAAGUGCCUGAGGAAAUCUGGAGGGUGCAGAAGACCGCUGAGCACCAUCCCAACCAGUGCAAUCUGUGCAGCCUUCCCCAUCAACUAUGAUGCAGAAUGUCAGGGUGAAGAAACAAGAAGGAUACAGCUGCUCUCCGGUCAUACAGUUGGUUCUACACAUGCUAGCUAACGCAGAAAGGAUUGUCUGCUGGGUACAAGAACCCUCUGCUCAAGAACCAGGACACAGUUUUCCCCAAACAUGGACAGUAUCUCACAUCAUGCAUUCUAUGAUGGUGUUGUGAUUGACUCAAGCUGUUUGAUUUGCAGCGGAGACCAAGAUCCAGCACAAAAGUAUAUGGGAAAAGCCAAAUUCUUCAUCAACUUCUGACAACUCAGGGUAAGGGUAAGCGUGAUUAAGCAAGUGCAUGAGCAUGAAUAGAUGAAAAGUUGAGGUGUUCUUGGAAAUGCAGCUCUCACUGCACAGUGCUGCACAAAGAUCUGCCCACUUAAUUCUGUCUGAGAGAGCAUUAAACGAUCAAUCAACAGCUCACCCACACAGCCAUUUACCUUCAGUAGAAAAAAGGACAGACCUUGCAUGGGAAGAAGAGCCACUUAGUCAAUCAGGCAGUCACAAAAGCUGAAAAGCUGAAGGAUGAACUGUUUAGAUGAGCAAAAUGCAUCCCAGUUACCUGUGGUACCUCAGGAUAGUCUACAAGAAGUUACACCAAACAGGACAACUGUUUGAUUCUUUGUUUUGUACAGGAAAAUGGCCACAAAAAGGUGUCACGUGAGUACAGCAGCCAUGGUCAGACAUCUGCACAAGUUCUUGCAACAUGAUAUAAUCAUCAGAGUGGCAGUCCCCUCUGUUGUGGGACAGUCAUGCUUCCAUCAGUAUGCAAAUAGUAGCACUUCAUAUGUGGUCACACUAAUGAGGCAUGACUCUGUGACCAUCCAGAUACAUCCUUGACUUCCUGUCAUCAGUAAGCCCACUCUGACCAAUUAUGUUACACAACAAUGGCUUUGCCAGAUGCCAUUUAGCAGAUCAAAAAGACAAUAGAUGGUCACUCCCAGUUUGUGAGUUGCUGAGUCAUUAACAGGAAAAAUAGAGAAUGAUUCACCAUAUAUGAACAGGAUACAGGCAUUCUUGUUGGAGUGCUGUCUCAUAAUUAGAUAUCAUGCCACAGAAAAAUCAAUGCAUGCUAUCCAAAUGGUAUUUCACUGUAUACUAUUAAUAUAUACUAGAAAGCUGAUGAAAUACCACCAUUGCUGGCUAUGAAUGACCCACAAGUCUGAGAUUUGUUAUGUACUGAUGCUUUCUACUAUAGACACACACACACCAGUAUACCACUGAUAAAUCCAGAUGUGCAGAGGAGAAAUGUAGAUGGGUCAUCUUAGCUAAGUUAACCUAGACUUCUCAGUAAGACAUGCUCAUGUAUUUCCAGCACAUAUGAUACCUGUAAACACACAAUGGAUUUAUUUUUAUCCUGCACAUCUUGAACUUCUUAACCUGUUCCAUUCAAGUUACUAAAGUGGCUGAGCUUCACUCCCUAAUGUGUACUGUUUGACAGUCACCAGUCCAAGUGAGAAACAGAGCCUGCAGGUGGGCAGAAUAAGAUGUUACAGAUGAUACCCUUUGAGAAAUUAAAAUGAGCAGCCAUCAAAACUAGUAAUAAUGUGUAACAUCAAAAGACUCUUUAUUAGAGGUCAUGCGUUCCACCUACUUGUCUUCUCACUUCAAAAACCAAAUUAACACACACAUUCUUUGAAGUGCUGGUGUUUACUCAGGAACUGCUAGAUCAUCACUGAGUAUGGCUAAAGAUAUAAUGACUAAGUAAAAGUAUUUUGCACCUUCUAUCUUUACAUACUGCUUUGCACAAGUGCAUCGCUGAACGUGCUCUAGACUGCUAAUGCCCAGCUGCACUAAAUAGCUUGUAGCCCACUGAAGGAAAGACAAUUGUGGAGAGCCUUUAGGCCUCAAGAUCAUACAUUGGUAAUGAUCUACCUGUCAGGAUAGGCAACAUCUCACCUAGUUAUGAGACAGUCUCUCUGUCACUUGUGUUUAUGUGGUGAUCAGUCUGCUUCUUGUUAAAUGACAUGAAAGUGACAGGUGUUGAUCUCCUGGCACCCAAUUCUUCCAGUCAGCUGUCUAGUCCUUCCCUACUCCUGGGUUAUCAUAAAAGAAGCAGGUAUCAACCUCUUCCAAACAAAGAAAGGGAAAAAAAUGAGAAAAACAGAUAAAAAACCACUCCUGGUGAAAUACCAAAGCUCUUUUACUCAUGGGAACUGGUGUUUACUUUUUCAAGUGGCUUUCUAUGAACAUGGCAGGAUUUGUUGACAGAGAAGGACUUCGUGCUUUGGCUUUUUCAGUGUUUUUCUUUUUCCCAUUGCUGAUUAUUAAAUGUGUUCACUUCUCAGAUACUUGUCUCUUUGCUCUAGAAAUAGCACAGAAAUAAUAUUUCAGCUGAAUGAGAACACGCUGACUUCUGAUGUUUUCAACAAUAGAUGGGUUGAUGUGAAUAUGAAAGAUAAUGUACUUGAUUUGCUUCAUUUUUACCAGCCUCUAGAGAGUUUAAUCUAUCCAGAAAAGAAGUGUCUGUCUGAUUUUUUUUUUUUCCUGUGUGACUGUCAUGUCAUCAUCUUGUAAGACAGAGUUAUUCUGAAAACAAAAAAGUAGAAAUCAUAAAGCAUUUUGAUCAUGGGCCAGAUCCUAUCACUUUUACUCAUCCUAUUUGUAUGUCAAACUUAUCUAUGAGAGUAUGCUGAGAUAUCAGCCCACUAUCAUCAAAAUGGCGACACCCAGAUUCAGUGCCCAAACUUUGAAAGAAGGGAUUUUUCUGAAUGCUUAUCAAUAUUUACUUGAAUUGAAACUGUCAGAUUCAGCUUUACAUAAGUGGCCUAAAGCAGCAUAUGUUUAUUUUAAGAUGUAAGCUUAUUUUGUGUAUACCCUAAUAUCUAUUUUCAUUCAUUUUUAGGGGAAAAAAAAAAAAUUCUUCAAACAUUGUACAACAA